CCUACGGGUGGCAGCAGUGGGGAAUCUUGCACAAUGGGGGAAACUCUGAUGCAGCGACGCCGCGUGAGUGAAGAAGGAUUUCGGUAUGUAAAGCUCUAUCAGCAGGGAAGAAAAUGACGGUACGUGACUAAGAAUCCCCGGCUAACUACGUGCCAGCAGCCGCGGUAAUACGAAGGGGGCAAGCGUUAUCCGGAUUUACUGGGGGUAAAGGGAGCGGAGGCGGCCAGACAAGUCUGAUGUGAAAGCCCAGGGCUCAACCCUGGGAUUGCUUUUGAAACUGCCGCGCUGGAGUGCAGGAGAGGUGAGCGGAAUUCCUAGUGUAGCGGUGGAAUGCGUAGAUAUUAGGAGGAACACCAGUGGCGAAGGCGGCUUACUGGACUGUAACUGACGUUGAGGCUCGAAAGCAUGGGGAGCAAACAGGAUUAGAUACCCCAGUAGUC
RNAcentral lists this ribosomal RNA (440 nucleotides) under uncultured bacterium. Its description in RNAcentral is "partial 16S ribosomal RNA". It matches the Rfam family "Bacterial small subunit ribosomal RNA", at positions 338 to 795 of the family's 1533-position model. The record is from RNAcentral.